AGAGUUUGAUCCUGGCUCAGGAUGAACGCUGGCGGCGUGCUUAACACAUGCAAGUCGAGCGAGAAAAGUUCUUCGGAGCUUUUCUAGCGGCGGACGGGUGAGUAACACGUGGGCAACCUGCCUCAUAGAGGGGAAUAGCCUUCCGAAAGGAAGAUUAAUACCGCAUAACAUUGUUGAAAGGCAUCUUUUAACAAUCAAAGGAGCAAUCCGCUAUGAGAUGGGCUCGCGGCGCAUUAGCUAGUUGGUGAGGUAACGGCUCACCAAGGCGACGAUGCGUAGCCGACCUGAGAGGGUGAUCGGCCACAUUGGAACUGAGACACGGUCCAGACUCCUACGGGAGGCAGCAGUGGGGAAUAUUGCACAAUGGGGGAAACCCUGAUGCAGCAACGCCGCGUGAGUGAUGAAGGUCUUCGGAUUGUAAAGCUCUGUCUUUAGGGACGAUAAUGACGGUACCUAAGGAGGAAGCCACGGCUAACUACGUGCCAGCAGCCGCGGUAAUACGUAGGUGGCAAGCGUUGUCCGGAUUUACUGGGUGUAAAGGGCGUGCAGCCGGGUCUGCAAGUCAGAUGUGAAAUCCAUGGGCUCAACCCAUGAACUGCAUUUGAAACUGUAGAUCUUGAGUGUCGGAGGGGCAAUCGGAAUUCCUAGUGUAGCGGUGAAAUGCGUAGAUAUUAGGAGGAACACCAGUGGCGAAGGCGGAUUGCUGGACGAUAACUGACGGUGAGGCGCGAAAGUGUGGGGAGCAAACAGGAUUAGAUACCCUGGUAGUCCACACUGUAAACGAUGAAUACUAGGUGUGCGGGGACUGACCCCCUGCGUGCCGCAGUUAACACAAUAAGUAUUCCACCUGGGGAGUA
Molecule: ribosomal RNA, 857 nt
Filed under: uncultured bacterium
Lineage: Bacteria
Description: bacterial SSU rRNA
Rfam family: Bacterial small subunit ribosomal RNA
Source: RNAcentral